This 491-nucleotide ribosomal RNA is filed under the name uncultured beta proteobacterium. Its description in RNAcentral is "bacterial SSU rRNA". It matches the Rfam family "Bacterial small subunit ribosomal RNA", at positions 8 to 494 of the family's 1533-position model. The record is from RNAcentral. Lineage: Bacteria; Pseudomonadati; Pseudomonadota; Betaproteobacteria.
AGAGUUUGAUCCUGGCUCAGAUUGAACGCUGGCGGCAUGCCUUACACAUGCAAGUCGAACGGCAGCACGGGAGCAAUCCUGGUGGCGAGUGGCGAACGGGUGAGUAAUAUAUCGGAACGUGCCCAGUCGUGGGGGAUAACGUAGAGAAAUUUACGCUAAUACCGCAUACGAUCUAAGGAUGAAAGCGGGGGAUCGCAAGACCUCGCGCGAUUGGAGCGGCUGAUAUCAGAUUAGGUUGUUGGUGAGGUAAAAGCUCACCAAGCCGACGAUCUGUAGCUGGUUUGAGAGAACGACCAGCCACACUGGGACUGAGACACGGCCCAGACUCCUACGGGAGGCAGCAGUGGGGAAUUUUGGACAAUGGGCGAAAGCCUGAUCCAGCAAUGCCGCGUGCAGGAAGAAGGCCUUCGGGUUGUAAACUGCUUUUGUACGGAACGAAACGGUCUGCCCUAAUACGGCGGGCUAAUGACGGUACCGUAAGAAUAAGCACC